GGGUUGUGAGGUUAAGCGACUAAGCGUACACGGUGGAUGCCCUGGCAGUCAGAGGCGAUGAAGGACGUGCUAAUCUGCGAUAAGCGCCGGUAAGGUGAUAUGAACCGUUAUAACCGGCGAUUUCCGAAUGGGGAAACCCAGUGUGACUCGUCACACUAUCAUUAACUGAAUCCAUAGGUUAAUGAGGCGAACCGGGGGAACUGAAACAUCUAAGUACCCCGAGGAAAAGAAAUCAACCGAGAUUCCCCCAGUAGCGGCGAGCGAACGGGGAGGAGCCCAGAGCCUGAAUCAGCAUGUGUGUUAGUGGAAGCGUCUGGAAAGGCGCGCGAUACAGGGUGACAGCCCCGUACACAAAAGCGCAUGUGCUGUGAGCUCGAUGAGUAGGGCGGGACACGUGGUAUCCUGUCUGAAUAUGGGGGGACCAUCCUCCAAGGCUAAAUACUCCUGACUGACCGAUAGUGAACCAGUACCGUGAGGGAAAGGCGAAAAGAACCCCGGCGAGGGGAGUGAAAAAGAACCUGAAACCGUGUACGUACAAGCAGUGGGAGCACCCUUUGGGGUGUGACUGCGUACCUUUUGUAUAAUGGGUCAGCGACUUAUAUUCUGUAGCAAGGUUAACCGAAUAGGGGAGCCGGAGGGAAACCGAGUCUUAAUUGGGCGUUAAGUUGCAGGGUAUAGACCCGAAACCCGGUGAUCUAGCCAUGGGCAGGUUGAAGGUUGGGUAACACUAACUGGAGGACCGAACCGACUAAUGUUGAAAAAUUAGCGGAUGACCUGUGGCUGGGGGUGAAAGGCCAAUCAAACCGGGAGAUAGCUGGUUCUCCCCGAAAGCUAUUUAGGUAGCGCCUCGUGAAUUCAUCUCCGGGGGUAGAGCACUGUUUCGGCUAGGGGGCCAUCCCGGCUUACCAACCCGAUGCAAACUGCGAAUACCGGAGAAUGUUAUCACGGGAGACACACGGCGGGUGCUAACGUCCGUCGUGAAGAGGGAAACAACCCAGACCGCCAGCUAAGGUCCCAAAGUCAUGGUUAAGUGGGAAACGAUGUGGGAAGGCCCAGACAGCCAGGAUGUUGGCUUAGAAGCAGCCAUCAUUUAAAGAAAGCGUAAUAGCUCACUGGUCGAGUCGGCCUGCGCGGAAGAUGUAACGGGGCUAAACCAUGCACCGAAGCUGCGGCAGCGA
This 1178-nucleotide ribosomal RNA is filed under the name Salmonella enterica subsp. enterica serovar Rubislaw. RNAcentral describes it as "bacterial LSU rRNA". It matches the Rfam family "Bacterial large subunit ribosomal RNA", at positions 1 to 1211 of the family's 2925-position model. RNAcentral also lists the same sequence under 1 other name. Lineage: Bacteria; Pseudomonadati; Pseudomonadota; Gammaproteobacteria; Enterobacterales; Enterobacteriaceae. The record is from RNAcentral.